CCUACGGGAGGCAGCAGUGGGGGAUAUUGCACAAUGGGGGAAACCCUGAUGCAGCGACGCCGCGUGUGGGAAGACGGUCUUCUGGAUUGUAAACCACUGUUCCCAGGGACGAAAAUGACGGUACCUGGGGAGGAAGCUCCGGCUAACUACGUGCCAGCAGCCGCGGUAAUACGUAGGGAGCAAGCGUUGUCCGGAAUUACUGGGGGUAAAGGGAGCGUAGGCGGGGAUGCAAGUUGGGUGUCAAAACUACCGGCUCAACCGAUAGUCGCACUCAAAACUGCAACUCUUGAGUGAAGUAGAGGCAGGCGGAAUUCCUGGUGUAGCGGUGAAAUGCGUAGAUAUUAGGAGGAACACCAGUGGCGAAGGCGGCCUGCUGGGCUUUUACUGACGCUGAGGCUCGAAAGUGUGGGGAGCAAACAGGAUUAGAUACCCGGGUAGUC
This 440-nucleotide ribosomal RNA is filed under the name uncultured bacterium. RNAcentral's name for it is "partial 16S ribosomal RNA". It matches the Rfam family "Bacterial small subunit ribosomal RNA", at positions 338 to 795 of the family's 1533-position model. The record is from RNAcentral.